AACCUAGCACACCUGCGGUGUGUACCUGCGGAAGGAUCAUUACCGAGUUUACAACUCCCAAACCCCUGUGAACAUACCUAUACGUUGCCUCGGCGGAUCAGCCCGCGCCCCGUAAAAAGGGACGGCCCGCCCGAGGACCCUAAACUCUGUUUUUAGUGGAACUUCUGAGUAAAACAAACAAAUAAAUCAAAACUUUUAACAACGGAUCU
Molecule: unclassified non-coding RNA, 209 nt
Filed under: soil metagenome
Description: partial contains 5.8S ribosomal RNA, internal transcribed spacer 2, and large subunit ribosomal RNA
Source: RNAcentral